CGAAGGGUGCAAGCGUUAAUCGGAAUUACUGGGCGUAAAGCGUGCGUAGGUGGUUGUUUAAGUCUGUCGUGAAAGCCCUGGGCUCAACCUGGGAAUGGCGAUGGAUACUGGGCGACUGGAGUGCGGUAGAGGAUGGCGGAAUUCCCGGUGUAGCGGUGAAAUGCGUAGAGAUCGGGAGGAACAUCCGUGGCGAAGGCGGCCAUCUGGACCAGCACUGACACUGAGGCACGAAAGCGUGGGGAGCAAA
Molecule: ribosomal RNA, 247 nt
Filed under: uncultured bacterium
Lineage: Bacteria
Description: partial 16S ribosomal RNA
Rfam family: Bacterial small subunit ribosomal RNA
Source: RNAcentral